CUUAAGUGGGGAAUAACGCAUCGAAAGGUGUGCUAAUACCGCAUAAUCUCUGAGGAGAAAAGCAGGGGAUCGCAAGACCUUGCGCUUUUGGAGCGGCCGAUGUCUGAUUAGCUUGUUGGUAAGGUAAAAGCUUACCAAGGCUUCGAUCAGUAGCUGGUCUGAGAGGACGACCAGCCACACUGGGACUGAGACACGGCCCAGACUCCUACGGGAGGCAGCAGUGGGGAAUUUUGGACAAUGGGGGCAACCCUGAUCCAGCCAUGCCGCGUGAGUGAAGAAGGCCUUCGGGUUGUAAAGCUCUUUCAGCCGGAACGAAACGGUUACGGUUAAUACCCGUGACUACUGACGGUACCGGAAGAAGAAGCACCGGCUAACUACGUGCCAGCAGCCGCGGUAAUACGUAGGGUGCGAGCGUUAAUCGGAAUUACUGGGCGUAAAGCGUGCGCAGGUGGUUUUGUAAGUCAGAUGUGAAAUCCCCGGGCUCAACCUGGGAACUGCGUUUGAAACUACAAGGCUAGAGUGUGGCAGAGGGGGGUGGAAUUCCGCGUAUAGCAGUGAAAUGCGUAGAGAUGUGGAGGAACACCGAUGGCGAAGGCAGCCCCCUGGGUCAACACUGACGCUCAGGCACGAAAGCAUGGGGAGCAAACAGGAUUAGAUACCCUGGUAGUCCAUGCCCUAAACGAUGUCAACUAGUUGUCGGGCCUUAACGGGCUUGGUAACGUAGCUAACGCGUGAAGUUGACCGCCUGGGGAGUACGAUCGCAAGAUUAAAACUCAAAGGAAUUGACGGGGACCCGCACAAGCGGUGGAUUAUGUGGAUUAAUUCGAUGCAACGCGAAAAACCUUACCUACCCUUGACAUGUAUCGAAGCCCGCAGAAAAGCGGGGGUGCCCGAAAGGGAACGAUAACACAGGUGCUGCAUGGCUGUCGUCAGCUCGUGUCGUGAGAUGUUGGGUUAGGUCCCGCAACGAGCGCAACCCUUGUCAUUAAUUGCCAUCAUUUAGUUGGGCACUUUAAUGAGACUGCCGGUGACAAACCGGAGGAAGGUGGGGAUGACGUCAAGUCCUCAUGGCCCUUAUGGGUAGGGCUUCACACGUAA
RNAcentral lists this ribosomal RNA (1098 nucleotides) under uncultured ammonia-oxidizing bacterium. Its description in RNAcentral is "bacterial SSU rRNA". It matches the Rfam family "Bacterial small subunit ribosomal RNA", at positions 131 to 1225 of the family's 1533-position model. The record is from RNAcentral.